RNAcentral lists this ribosomal RNA (296 nucleotides) under uncultured bacterium. RNAcentral's name for it is "partial 16S ribosomal RNA". It matches the Rfam family "Bacterial small subunit ribosomal RNA", at positions 334 to 644 of the family's 1533-position model. The record is from RNAcentral.
UUUACCUACGGGACGCAGCAGUGGGGAAUAUUGGACAAUGGGGGGAACCCUGAUCCAGCGACGCCGCGUGAGUGAAGGAGUAUUUCGGUAUGUAAAGCUCUAUCAGCAGGGAAGAAAGAAAUGACGGUACCUGACUAAGAAGCCCCGGCUAACUACGUGCCAGCAGCCGCGGUGAUACGUAGGGGGCAAGCGUUAUCCGGAUUUACUGGGUGUAAAGGGAGCGUAGACGGUUACGCAAGUCUGGAGUGAAAGGCGGGGGCCCAACCCCCGGACUGCUUUGGGGGCUGCAUAACUGG